Octopus sinensis (East Asian common octopus) is the source of this 503-nucleotide long non-coding RNA. RefSeq lists it as uncharacterized. The record is from RefSeq and is a predicted model, not a curated record. The transcript has 2 exons. Lineage: Eukaryota; Metazoa; Mollusca; Cephalopoda; Octopoda; Octopodidae.
ACAUAUACACAUGUAGAAGACAUAUAGGGAUAUAUAGAGAAACAAAAAUUAAUCACAACCGUUCGUAUGUUUGAUUUAAUAACUUAGUACUACAGUUAUAAUUUGCGAAAGUAGAUGUGGAAAACAGUUUUUUGAAAUCCUCUCAAAACAAUAAAACACUGUCGAAAGACCAAUAAAACUGCUAUUCAUGUUACUGUAUGUAUGACAUCACUAAACACCAUGUGAUAUGUAGUCUAUAUAGUACAAUAUAUUUUUAUGUUUACAACAAAUUUAAGUGUACAGUGUAUAAAUUAAUCGAGCUCUCUUUAAAGGGAUAAUUUAGAAAACUUAUUCUUUGAGUCUGUAUUCACGAAUGAAAUAACUUUUCAUUUAAUCUCUGGCGACCCUCCAACUGGAAGAAGUUGAUACUGGACAUGAAGUCUGAGACCUUAAAAUACGUGAUGCAUACAGAUGGGGGCACCUUUGAUCAUAUAGUAAGUUUACUUGAUCGGAAAUAAUCUGGA